UACAUAGCUUAAUGAGGGGAACUCAGGGAACUGAAACAUCUAAGUACCUGAAGGAAGAGAAAGAAAUUCGAUUCCGUAAGUAGCGGCGAGCGAACGCGGAUUAGCCCAAACCAAUAAAGUUUUCUUUAUUGGGGUUGCGGACAUAUCAUAACGAAGAGGUAUCGUAAUUGAAGAGGUUUGGAAAGACCCACCACAGAAGGUAAUAGUCCUGUAUGUUAAACGAGAAGACUUUAGGUAUGAUCCAGAGUACCACGGGACACGUGAAACCCUGUGGUAAACAGGAGCGACCAUCCUCCCAGGCUAAAUACUACCCACUUACCGACAGCGUAUACUACCGUCAGGGAAAGGUGAAAAGAACCCCGGGAGGGGAGUGAAAUAGAACCUGAAACCCUGCACUUACAAGCUGUGGAAGCACAUUUCUUGUGUGACCGCGUACUUUUUGUAGAACGGGCCAACGAGUUACGUUAAGUAGCAAGGUUAAGCACUUAAGGUGCGGAGCCGUAGCGAAAGCGAGUUUUAACUGAGCGUUCAGUUACUUGACGUAGACCCGAAACCGGGCGACCUACCCAUGAGCAGGAUGAAGCGAAAGUAAAAUUUCGUGGCGGUCCGAACCCACGAGCGUUUAAAAGCUCGGGGAGGACUUGUGGGUAGCGGUGAAAUCACAAUCGACCACGGAGAUAGCAGGGUUGCCCCGGAAUAGAUUUAGGGUGCGCUGUCAGGUGAGAGGUACGGAGUGAGAGAUCUAAAUGUCCCAGGGGGUAUUACCGC
RNAcentral lists this ribosomal RNA (768 nucleotides) under Clostridioides difficile. RNAcentral's name for it is "bacterial LSU rRNA". It matches the Rfam family "Bacterial large subunit ribosomal RNA", at positions 163 to 935 of the family's 2925-position model. Lineage: Bacteria; Bacillati; Bacillota; Clostridia; Peptostreptococcales; Peptostreptococcaceae. The record is from RNAcentral.